Molecule: long non-coding RNA, 4344 nt
Organism: Oreochromis aureus
Lineage: Eukaryota; Metazoa; Chordata; Actinopteri; Cichliformes; Cichlidae
Source: Ensembl
UCUCGUCUGCAGGGGGCGUGCUGGUGGAGCUGUCUGCUUUUGAAUGGGGGUGUGCUCUGUUCCCAUCAGCACUGGUGAGCAGCAGCUGAGCGCUUCCCAUCAUUUCUCUGUAAAACCUGCCGGAGAAAAACUCGCUUAGCUGCAGCUGAUACCCGAGCAAUCAUGUUCUGCAGACGGGCAUGGCAGAGAGUCGGGCCGCUGGCACGGAGGUCUUUCAAGCCGACACACAGAUACGCUCCGGUGCGACACAUGGCCUUCGGUGUUCCCGGAGGCUCCACCAACAUGACGUACUUUGUUUUGUGUGGUGGCGGCCUCACUGCGGCAGUUGUUUAUGCAUACAAGACGGUCAAUGAUGAUACCGAGCGUUACGAGGAAAGACUCGCCAACAUGGGCUCCAUGGCGAAGGCUUCUUCAGCAAAGGCAGCACCAGAGGCAGCUCCACCUGCAGUUGAGCCUGCACCGGUGGAGGAGGAAGCCCCUGCUGCUGAGGUCAUUGCUGAGUCGGCCACUGCUGCUGCUGCAGAACCUGUAGGAGAGACAGCUGCUGAACCUGUUGUGGAAGCUGCAUCUGAAGAAGCAGAAGCUGCCGCCGUCUCUGAGGCGGUCGUUCCAGAGGCAGCAGCUGAGACGGCAGCUGAGUCGGCAGAGACGGAGGACGCCGCUCCACCUGUGGAGGCAGAGGUGGUUGCUGAAGCAGCUCUGGAGGCCCCAGCAGAGGAACCAGUGGCAGAAAACGCUGAGUCUGCACCAGAGCUGCUCACAGAUGUUAAGCUCUUGACCGGCUCAACAGCUGAAAUUGCUGCUGCUUCUGUUGGUGAGAAGAAUCCGAUGGAGACUGUCCAACAAACUGAAGGUGAAGGAAAGGGACACAAGGUGCUUGAAACAGAAGCUUUGGAAGAAGCCUCAGAGGCAGUGGCCAAGGAAGCAUCUGAAGAGGGAGCAGUUGUAGAAGGUGAGGAGGAGGUGAAGUCUGGAGAGGGUGAGAAAAGUGCAGAAGAUGCUCAGACUCCAGCUGCUGAAGAAGUGAUAGCGGAGGUGACAUCUGCUCUGGCUGCAGCUGUGGACAAGGAGGCAGCGGCUGGAUCUCAUCCUGAGGAAACAACAUCUCCAAUGCCCACUGUGGACGAGGCAGAGGCUGAAGUUCAACCUGCUCCUGAGGAGGCCAUCGCUGCUGAAGAUGCUGCUGAAGAUGAGGCUGUCUCCUCUGAAGAUGCUGCUCCUCCCGAGGAGGCCACAGUCACCGGUGAAGGUGCCCCACUGGAUGAGAUUUCAUCAGCUGACCAGGCAGCAGCUGAAACAUCUGCAGAGGAGACAGCUGAAGCUGCUGUCAGCACAACUCAGCUGGCAGCAGCCUCCGUUGGAGCAGACCUAGAGGUUCUUUCAGUUGCAGAAGCAGAGCCUACAUCAGGAGCUCCUGUGCAUGAGGAGAAGCCCUGCCACUCCUGCCACUCUGCUCCCUCAGCAGGAGAGGAGGUGGCGCCACCUGCUGCUGUAGGAGAGGAGCUGAUCGCCGACGGAGCUGUGGAUACUUCACAAGAAGCCAAGGACGCAGCCUCAGCACAAACCAUGGAGGCGACGGUGGUGGUGAUAGCCCAGUCGUGACGGGACAGACAGUGUGCCUUCCACAACACUCGCCUAUCUGUCAACCAAGCCAGAGCGACCGGCGGAAAACAAAAAACAUGAAUAGAGGUAGUCACAGGUGUAACUGACUCGAACGUCCUUUCUGAAAUGUUAUCAGAGUUGUCUUCUGUAUUAGUGCUUGUGAGGUGAUUCCUAUCAUGUCCUCUAGGUGCCACUGUUGCAAAACCUUUCAUGAUCAGCUGAGGCUUCUUUAAAUCUUUCAGUAGGCAGUGGAAGUGGGUUACUGUAAUACUGUGUUUUAUUUUAGUACUGUGAUAGACCACUUUUAUAGAUAAUAAGCUUGCCAAUGUGGACAAGAAUUUUUAAUGGGAGUGUCACCUCAGUGUGAUUUACCUGCUCAUAUCAGCUCACAUACAUGUAAUAACUUUGUUUCAGAACCAGAGUUACAAAGUUCUUCAAAAUAUUUACAAAAAACAAUCUUAAAACAGUAGAAUGUUUAUAAAAUGAGAACUGCACAAAUAGAUGUAUAAAUGUGAGGAAAAGCAUCAGGUUUAAUAACAGAUAACAAAAUCCAAAAGAGGCAAAUCACAGACAAUGAAGUGAAGAGCAGGGGCAUCUUCAGAAUUUUUUUUCAUAGGAGUGGCCAUAUGGGGGCCACUAAAAAUAUUGGGAAUUUCCAGUUUUAUUAUGCUGUUGUCAAAUAUUGGUUACUUAAAAAAAUGAGAAGAGAAGAGAAGAGAAGAGAAGAGAAGAGAAGAGAAGAGAAGAGAAGAGAAGAGAAGAGAAGAGAAGAGAAGGGCAGGACUAUUUAUACACCCGGGGCUAACCGGUUUUGUGUUACUCUAACGAAAUGGUACUAAAACAGGAGAAUGAGACACAGGUGAAAGUAAUCAGGAUAUUCAGACAGAUGAGUAAAACCCAAAACAAACUAUCAAAAUAAAAUAAAAAAACAAUCCACAAGACAGGAAGAAACACUGAGGGAAGUAAGCAUGUGAGAAAUCCAUCUAUCCAUCCAUUUGAGUGUGAGUUAUCUUGCCUGUUGUUACAGGCUGUUCAGUUCUUUUACAACACAGUGAGAGCUUGGUCCGUAUUGCCAAUAAUAAGUUGGAUUUAGUCCUGAUCGCAGUUUGACAGCCAGUGCUGUCCUCUGUCGGGGAUUAUAUUCCUAAUUUCUAUGGACAGGAUUUCUGUGUGUAGCCAAGCACUGGAAAGUCUCCGGUUUUGUGGCUGCUCGAUCUCAAGUGCUUUGAGUGCUCAAGCAGAGUAGAAAAGUGCUAUAAGAAUCAGUCUAUUUACCAUCUAAUAUCUGUUUUUAUGGAUGUGGUUCUGUUGGCUUCAUCAGGUGACCUCCUCCAGCUCGCACUGGGGUGGUUCGCAGCUGAGUUUGAAGCAAUGAGAAUGAAAAUGAUCUCCUCUGAGCCUGGGUGGAGUGCUCACUCUGGGUGAGAGAUGAGUUGCUGUGCUAAGUGAAAGAGUCUAAGUAUCUUGGGGUCUUGUUCACAAGUGAAACGAACAGGAGACUGAUAAACAGAUCAGUGUUCCAUCCGCAGUGCGGACACUGUACCGGUCUGUUGUGGUGAAGAAAGAGCUGAGCAUGAAAAUAAAGCUGUCCAUUUACCAGUUACCAACCUUACCUAUGGUCACAAGCUCAAGGUAGUGAAUACAAUAAUGUCAUCUCAAAUACAAGUAAUGGAAAUUCCUCUAACUUAGAAAUCGGGUGAGGAGCUCAGUUAUUUAUGAGUGGCUUAGACUGGAGCCGCUACCCCUCAGCACUGAAAGGAGCCAGCUGAAGUGAUUCAAGCAUCUGACUACGAUACUUCCUGGGUGCCCUCUGGGUGAGGGCAGACCCAGCACACGCUGGAGAGAUUAUAUCGCUCAGCUGGCUUGGACACAUCUUGCUGUCGCCAUAAAUAAGGUGGAGGAGGUGCCUGUGUAGAGGGAGGUCUGGGCUUCUCUGUGUAAGCUGCUCCCCCACAAUCCAAACCCAGAUAAGCGGCAGAAGAUGGAUGGAUGGAUGGAUGGAUGGAUGGAUGGAUGGAUGGAUGGAUGGAUGGAUGGAUGGAUGGAUGGAUGACAAUCUUUUUCUCAUAAUACAAAGGCAGGUACUUACAUGACUGUCUUAUUAUCCAUAUAUAUUAGAAUUUUCUAGGUUUUAGUCUUCCUCUACAACUACAAUAAAAAAAAUAAGUGGGGUUUAAUUUACUCAAAGGAAAAAAGAAUUUUGUUUGUCAAAUGGCAGAAAAAUAUUGUGGUUGUUUAUAUUUUAGCUUCUGCAACAAAAGUUUGCUUUGAGUGGUUUAAAUAUUAAGUAUGUGAACGUCAGUGCUUCCAGUUAUGUAAGAGUGACACAAAAGCUUUAUUUUACAUACAGAAAUAAACAUGUUAUUGAUGCACUUUUCCUUCUUUUCUGAUACCACUAGCACCUAAAAUAGUUUAGAAAAAAGUGUUGAAAGGUUAAACACACAAACACAGACACAUAUACACACAUACGGAGGUGAAAAAUACCUGAUGCCAGAAAAUAUCCCGUAAACACACUUCCACAUCCAUACCAACACCUGUCUAUACUUACACAAAUCUCCAUUUAUGUGCAGACUGGGUAAGAGAAUAAGAGAAAAUGAUUGUAGAUAUACAGAUUGAAACUUUGUUUAAUAUAUUUGCAUAUUAAACAGUAACUUUAAAGCUUGUAAUUAGCAAAUUGCUCUGCAAAUGACUUCUCUGUUGUCUGAUAAUGUGCUCAAAUUUUAAAUAAAGUGAUGUAAUAAC